AGAUGGAAGAGUUACCUGGCUGCCACAUCUGUCACCCCAUUGAUCGUCAGAGUUGAUUCAGUUGAUUUGACUGCCUAGUCGGGUGUUCCCUUCUUCCCUCACCACUCCAUGUGCAUCCCUCCUUAAGCUGUGCACUCUGUCAAAGAGGACAAUUUUCCCUGAUAGAGACAUAUAGCUCAUCAGUCAAGUGUACACAGUAGCUGUGCUCCCCUGCUAGAACCUCCAAACAAGCUCACGGUCAAGUUGUAGGAGAACAUAGAGUAGUCAAGCUUCCAAGGCUGCAGACACAUUCAAGUGAGGCACUGCAUGGGGCAGUUUGCCAUUCUUU
RNAcentral lists this small nuclear RNA (328 nucleotides) under Colius striatus (speckled mousebird). Its description in RNAcentral is "7SK RNA". It matches the Rfam family "7SK RNA". Rfam says of the family: 7SK was discovered as an abundant small nuclear RNA in the mid-70s but a possible function has only recently been suggested. Two independent studies have found that 7SK RNA binds the CDK9/cyclin T complex (known as elongation factor P-TEFb). Lineage: Eukaryota; Metazoa; Chordata; Aves; Coliiformes; Coliidae. The record is from Rfam by way of RNAcentral.